AGUUUCUUUGCAGAGAACUAUGGGAGAUGUAGGUCAAGACCAAGCGGCCAUAAACGCUCAGCUCUUAGCUGACAAUGAAGAACUGAGGGCGAGCCUUAGGACUAUCACCGCCGAGCUUGCUCAGAUACGGCAGGGAGGCAGGCCCAACGGACCUCGACCACCAGGAAGGCAUCAGCCGGACCCGCAUGACACUGACUCGGACGCGGACAGUACCGAUGAUACGCGCAGUCAGGACGAGGAGAGGCCGAACCGGGGAGGUAGGAGGAACGCGCGAGGACCCCGGGCCCAAGUAGGAGGAGGCCGCGACCAUAGGGGAGGUCGAGACCGAGAGGAGGAAGAGCCUUGGUUGGGAGGCAAGGCGCUUAAGCUUCAUCCCCCAACGUUUGCGGCAAGGUUGAUCCGGAUGCCUACAUCGUGUGGGAGAAGCGCAUGGAGUACAUCUUCGACUAUUAUCAAUAUAGUGAGGCCAAGAAGGUUGCCCUAGCAGCAGCCCAGCUGACGGACAAUGCUCUUUCGUGGUGGGAUCGAGACGUUGCUAAGUCCGGGCCAGUGUGGAGAGCGCGUAAUUGGACCGAGAUGCGGACCAAGCUUCGCGCGAGGUACAUUCCAUCUUACUACCAGCGUGAUGUGCUAAAACGUUUUCGUAAACUUACGCAGGGAACUAAGACUGUGGAGGAGUACUUUGAGGAGUUCGAGGCACUUAGGAAUAAGCUUGAGACCGACGAGCCCGAGGAGACAAUGAUGUCCCAAUUCCUGGAAGGGCUGCAAGACCGCAUUGCCCGCAAGGUGGAGAGACAACACUAUGAAGACUUCAACGAUCUAUUGCACUUUGCUACGCAAGCCGAGCAGCACAUCAAGCGCAAGACGGCCAGUACCAGCCGCAGCAAACCUGCUUGGACUCAACCGGGUUCAAAACAAGGCGACAAGGGCAAGACGAUUGAGAUUGAGAGCCGAUUCAAGACCAACCAGGCUGAAUCGUCUAAUGCAUCUAAGCCGGAGCAGGGUAAGACUCAAGCCCAAAAUUUGCGUACUCGUGACAUCAUUUGUUAUAAGUGUCAGGGCAAAGGCCACUACGCUCGGGAUUGUCCAAACAAACGAGUGAUGGUCCUAAAGGGGGAUGGCGAGUAUGAAUCCCAAGAUGAGGCAGAGGCCGCGGCCGCGAUCUCUGAUGAAGAAGUAACCGACUACCCGGAGAUAGGCGAGCUGCUAGUGACCCGGAGAGCUCUUGGCACCCUCUUUGACCCAGAGACCAUCCAGCGGGAGAACAUCUUCCACACCAGAUGUAGUGUUGAUCACAAGGUAUGUAGUUUGAUCAUAGAUGGCGGAUCUUGUACUAACGUGGCUAGCAAGUAUCUUGUUGAUAAGCUAGGGUUGGUCAAAACUGCCCAUCCUCGACCAUACCGUCUCAAAUGGCUCAAUGAUGAGACUGAGCUCAAGAUUGCCGAACAAGUUGUUGUGUCCUUCAGUAUUGGCAAGUACCAAGACCAGGUCAAGUGUGAUGUUGUGCCCAUGCAAGCCGGCCAUAUACUUCUCGGAAGGCCGUGGCAGUUUGACAAGGAGACACUUCACCAUGGCCGCACCAACAUCUACAGUUUCGUCCACAACAACAAGAAGCACAGCCUAGCACCUCUCAGCCCUCAAGAAGUUCAUGAUAUGCAGAAGGCAAUGACGCAGUCCGGCCAGGUAAGUAACACUAACCUUUACAUGACUUCCGGACAAGUGCUUAAAUCAUUACAACGUGAGACACAGGUGCUACUAAUGAUCUUUAAGGAAGGUUGUUUUGCAGGUUUAGAAGCUCCUGAAGUACCGGACGUAGUACAAGACCUCAUGGGACGUUACAAGGAUGUCUUCCCUGACGAGAUCCCUGCCGGUUUACCCCCUAUCCGUGGCAUAGAACAUCAGAUCGAUCUUGUACCCGGCGCGCCACUACCAAACCGAGCCGCUUACCGUGUCAAUCCUGAGGAAGCUAAGGAGCUGGAACGGCAGGUCCAAGAUCUCAUGGACAAAGGCUACAUCCGCGAGAGCCUUAGCCCCUGUGCUGUCCCGGUCCUACUAGUGCCUAAGAAAGAUGGGACAUGGCGCAUGUGUGUGGACUGCCGAGCCAUCAACAACAAAACCAUCAAAUAUCGGUACCCUAUACCUAGAUUAGAUGAUAUGUUGGAUGAACUGAGUGGGUCUGUUGUGUUUUCUAAGAUUGAUCUCAGGAGUGGAUACCAUCAAGUCCGCAUGAAGGAAGGAGAUGAGUGGAAAACCGCCUUCAAGACCAAGCAAGGUCUAUACGAGUGGCUGGUGAUGCCGUUUGGCCUUACCAACGCCCCUAGCACCUUCAUGAGACUCAUGAAUGAGGUCCUCCGACCUUACAUUGGUAAAUUCGUGGUUGUAUACUUUGAUGAUAUCUUGAUUUACAGCAGGUCUUUAACUGAACACAUGGGACACCUAGAACAUGUUUUGAAAGCCUUAAGGCAAGAAGGCCUUUAUGCUAACCUUAAGAAAUGUGUAUUCUGCACUGAUCAGUUGGUAUUUUUAGGCUUUGUUGUGAGUUCACAGGGACUGAAGGUUGAUGAGGAGAAGAUCAAGGCCAUACAAGACUGGCCGACCCCGACCACGAUCGGACAUAUCCGCAACUUCCAUGGACUAGCCAGUUUCUACCGACGAUUUGUGAAGGACUUCAGUACCAUUGCCGCCCCAAUGACCUCCGUGAUCAAGAAGAAUGUAACCUUUGCUUGGGGUCCUGCCCAAGAGGAGUCUUUCAACAGGCUUAAACAUAGUUUGACACAUGCACCGGUCCUAACUCUUCCUGAUUUUGAUAAACCUUUUGAGAUUGAGUGUGAUGCUUCAGGGACAGGAAUAGGAGCCGUACUGACCCAAGGAGGCCGGCCAGUGGCUUUCUUUAGUGAGAAAUUGGAGCCGCCCUCAAUUACCCCACCUAUGAUAAAGAGCUAUAUGCUCUAGUAAGGUCACUUGAAACUUGGCAACAUUAUCUUCUGUCUAAAGAGUUUAUUAUUCAUACAGAUCACGAGACUCUUAAACACUUGAGGGGCCAGACCACACUCAAGAAGAGGCAUGCCAGGUGGCUGGAGUUUGUGGAGACUUUUCCUUAUGUGAUCAAGUACAAGAAGGGGAAGGACAACGUAGUGGCCGACGCUCUAUCCCGACGCCACACGCUCAUUACCACCAUGGAGGCCAAGAUCAUGGGUUUUGAACAACUUAAAAUGUCUUAUGAAACUGACCCUGAUUUUUCUGAGCUUUACAGUAACACGGCUAAGGGAGCCAUGGGUCCAUUCUAUCAGCAGGACGGGUUCCUCUUCAAGGAGAAGCGCCUGUGCAUUCCUCAUGGUUCCAUGCGAGACUUACUGACACGAGAAGCUCAUGGGGGCGGGUUGAUGGGGCAUUUCGGCCGAGACAAAACCCUGAGCGUCCUCUCCGACCACUUCUAUUGGCCCAGGAUGAGGCGUUACGUCGAGAGCCUAUGUGCCAAGUGCACUGUCUGUCUCAAAACCAAAUCCAGGUCGCAUCCUUAUGGUUUACACAUGCCUUUACCCAUUCCUAUUGCACCAUGGGUUGAUCUAUCUAUGGACUUUGUGCUGGGCUUGCCCAAGAUAGAACACAAGGAUUCUAUUUUUGUUGUAGUGGACAGGUUCUCCAAGAUGGCACAUUUCAUUCCGUGUUCCAAGACCAAUGAUGCCAGCCAAACCGCUGAUCUCUUCUUCAGGGAAGUGGUGCGCUUACAUGGAGUGCCACGUACCAUUGUGUCCGACCGAGACACAAAAUUCCUCAGCCACUUCUGGAGAACAUUGUGGAAGAAGCUUGGAACCAAGCUCCUCUUCUCGACCACUUGCCACCCACAGACUGAUGGUCAGACCGAGGUAGUAAACCGUACACUCUCUCAGUUGUUGAGGGCUACGGUGGGUAAGAACCUUAGAAAUUGGUUGAGUUGUUUGCCUUUCAUUGAGUUUGCUUAUAACCAUGCAAGGCACUCUAUUACUAACCUCUCCCCUUUUGAGAUCGUGUAUGGCUUUAGACCAGAGACGCCCAUGGACCUAUCCGCACUGCCCCCAGCCAUGCAAGUUAGCCAGAGUGGUGACAAAAAGGCUGAGUUUGUGAAGAACAUGCACCGACAAGUCAAGGAGACUUUGGAGAAGAAGGCUGAACGGAACCGGAUUAAGCUCAACAAGGGACGCACAGAAGUUAUCUUCCAACCAGGCGACUGGGUGUGGCUCCACAUGAGGCCAGAACGGUUUCCGGAAGAGAGGAAGAGCAAAUUAUCCCCACGAGGGGACGGACCUUUCCGAGUGCUCGACCGGAUCAAUGACAAUGCCUACCGGCUAGAGCUGCCAGGUGAGUUCCAAGUAUCCCGAACGUUCAAUGUGUCUGAUUUGUCUCCUUAUAUUGCAGAUGACGGAGAUGUUCUGAGGACAGAACCUGUUCAAGAGGGAGGGGUAGACCUUCGGAAUUUGAAGCUAGAGGUGUCAAAAAGUUACCACAGGGAUAAUGUUGUAGUACCCACGACUGAGGUUCCCAUCAUCCGCAAAGGUCCUACCACAAGGUCCGGCUCAAGGGUUAUAAGAGCUGGAUUUGCCAAAGCUGUCCAGGAGUUGCUUGCACAGGAACAAACCGGAUUCAAGCAACUAUUGAUCCAGGAGUUGGCCGACUUAAAGCUUGAAGACACCAGCGAGCCAUUAGAGGUUCCAGACUCCUUCCAUUCAAGCCAAUUCUCCUCCAUCGACCAGAAUGAAGCCGGCCUGAUCAUUUCCACCUUCAUCCUCAAUCCAUCCAACCAACUUGCUUCCGGUUCUGAGAUGUAGCCGUCCAUCAGAAGGAGUAGUAUGUGUUGUACUCUUUUUCCUUAUCGGGUUUUUUCCCACUGGGUUUUUCCGAAAGGUUUUAAUGAGGCAACAUGCAAGCAUACUAUGAGUUCUGAUCCGGACAUCUCAAGCCGCGACCGGUCUAUUGCUUUUCUUUAAUUUAUUUCGGUUAAGACUAUGGCCAUUUGUCUAGGCCUUUUUAUCUUUUAGAGUCCAUUAAGGAACAGCUAUUUAAACUCUUGUAGUAGCCAAAUUUUCGGCAAGUCUUUUUAUGAAAUCGUUUUGCUUAAGCAAAGAAACCCUAAGUCUUUCAGUUGUGAGAAACUAUUGACAGCCGUCUGACAUAUCAAAGAGCCGAUCCAUUGUUCUUUGUGGAGUCCUUCGAUCCAUCCCAUCCCUUGUCCGAUCUUGAGAGAGACACACGUCCAGCAAGAGCCGGAACCAUAUCUAUCCUUCAAACCAUCCGUUGAUCUUGUUGAGAGAGACACACGUCCAGCAACAGAUUCCAUCCGCUAUUCUUCUCUAUCUCUCUAUCCUUGUUCUUAGAUUUCAUUCAUCUUUCCUUCAAAACCCAUAAAAAUCAUAUCUUGUUCAUUUAUCAUUUGUCCAUUAGCCUCUCUGUUUCUGUUCUUGUCUCUAUCGAAAACUCACCAAAAGCUCAUAUUUGAUUCAGGUACAAUCGCCAACAAGAGACGACCCGGCCGGUACCAUCCAUCCGAGCCAAAGACUGAACCGCGGAACGACCAUCCGUCCGUCCGUCCGCCUAUCCGUCCCGUGCCUACAACAUUUUGGUAUCAGAGCUGAAGUUUCCUGCGAAACUCAGUUCUUUCUGAACCCUAGCCGUCACAAUUCCAAAAAAAAAAAAAAAAAUUUAAUUUCCUUUUUUUUUUAAAUUUUCGGAUUGUUCCCCAAGUUUUCAAUUUUCUUUCCUUAUUUUUUUAAAUUUUCGGAUUGUUCCCCAAGUUUUCGAUUUUUGUAUUUUUAAAAAAAAAAAUUAAAAGAAGUUUUACUUUCUUUCCAAGUUUUCGAAAAUCCAAAAAAAAAUAUUCCCUCUUUCCUUUUUUUAACUUGAUUCGAUUUUUACCAUAAAUUUUUGCAUUUACUCUUAGCCUUGGUCGAUACUCAAAGUAUCCGACCCAAGCAACUAUUUAACCCCCCCCCCCCUUGCCUUUUAAUCUUUCUUUGAGUUUCUUUGCAGAGAACCAUGGGAGAUGUAGGUCAAGACCAAGCGGCCAUAAACGCUCAGCUCUUAGCUGACAAUGAAGAACUGAGGGCGAGCCUUAGGACUAUCACCGCCGAGCUUGCUCAGAUACGGCAGGGAGGCAGGCCCAACGGACCUCGACCACCAGGAAGGCAUCAGCCGGACCCGCAUGACACUGACUCGGACGCGGACAGUACCGAUGAUACGCGCAGUCAGGACGAGGAGAGGCCGAACCGGGGAGGUAGGAGGAACGCGCGAGGACCCCGGGCCCAAGUAGGAGGAGGCCGCGACCAUAGGGGAGGUCGAGACCGAGAGGAGGAAGAGCCUUGGUUGGGAGGCAAGGCGCUUAAGCUUCAUCCCCCAACGUUUGCCGGCAAGGUUGAUCCGGAUGCCUACAUCGUGUGGGAGAAGCGC
RNAcentral lists this long non-coding RNA (6420 nucleotides) under Brassica napus (rape). RNAcentral describes it as "long non-coding RNA (BNAP_LNC002331)". The record is from RNAcentral. Lineage: Eukaryota; Viridiplantae; Streptophyta; Magnoliopsida; Brassicales; Brassicaceae.